AGAAGGGGUGGAGGAGCCAGGAGGAAUGAAUGGGCUGCUGCGGCCCUGGAAACGAUCAGGAAGACCAAGGGCUGUGAACCCGCCUGGGGAUGAGGCCUGGUCUUGUGGAACUGAACUUAGCUCGGCGGGGCUGACCGCUCUGGCCCAGGGUGGUGGCAGUGCUCCUUUUGGACUUUUCUCUAGGUUUGGCGCUAAACUCUUCUGUGAGCUCACUCCACCCCUCCUCCUCCCUUUAACUUACCCAUUCACUUAAAACAUUACCUGGUUGUCUGGUAAGCCCGGGACAGUAGCCGAGUGGCUUUUGGAGUCGGUAUUGUUGGUAAUGGUGGAGAAAGAGAGGCCUUCCCGCUGAGGCUGGGGUGGGGCGGAUCGGUGUUGCUUGCCUGCAGAGAGGGUGGGGAGUGAAUGUGCACCCCUGGGUGGGCCUGCAGCCAUCCAGCUGAAAGUCAUAAAAAUGCCUUAUAGACCGUGGUUUGUUACUAUAGUGUUCCUCAUGGCGAGCAGAUGGAACCGGGAGACAUGGAGCCCCUGGCCAGUGUGAGUCCUAGCAGUGCAGGAGGGGAGACCAUGGAGGAGAGAGCCCGCCUCAAUUGAUGCCUGCAGAUUGAAUUUCCAGAGGCUUAGGAGGAGGAAGUUCUCCAAUGUCGUGUUUCCAGGCCUUGCUGGGGAAGCCCUGUAUUCAGGAGGCAACCAUUUAAAGUUUUCAGAUGAGCUUAUGGGGGGCAAUCUUAAAAUAUCCACAGCAGAUGCAUCCGGCUCGAGGUGCCAUCAGCUUUGAAUAAAUGCUUGUUCCAGAGCCCAUGAAUGCCAGCAGGCACCCCUCCUUUCCUGGGGUAAAGGUUUUCAGAUGCUGCGUCUUCUAAAUUGAGCCUCCGGUCAUACUAGUUCUGUGCUUGGAACCUUGCUUCAAGAAGAUCCCUAAGCUGUAGAACAUUUUAACGUUGAUGCCACAACGCAGAUUGAUGCCUUAUAGAUGGAGCUUGCAGAUGGAGCCCCGUGACCUCUCACCUACCCCCCCUGUUUGCCUGCCUGCCUAUGCGUUGCUCGGAGAAGUUCUUAGCCUGAUGAAAUAACUUGGGGUGUUGGAAAGCUGUUUAAUUUUAAAUGCCUUAGACGGGGGAUGUAUUAGAGGAAGCAGAUUGUCAAGAGUGUCAUUGUGUUAUGCUAAACUCUGGGAGGGUACAAAUUGGUCAUUCCCAAAUCUGUGUGUGAAAAAUGGCAGGUCUAGUUUGGGCAUUGUGAUUGCAUUGCAGAUUACUAAGAGAAGGUAAUGGUGGGUAUACCGGUAGUGCUCUUUUGUUCUUGCUUCGUUUUUUUGCACCUGAACUUCGUUAGAUUUCAUAAUGCUUUUUUGGCAUUUUAAUAAGAGGACCCUGAGGUGGGAGUUGUGGGAGACCGGGAGAAGGGGACAGCUUGGCACUGGUCACGUGGGAUUUGCAGUGUGGGGGAUGGGGGUGUGCAGCUUGGCACUGGUACUGGGAGGGAUGAAGGUGAGGAAGGGGAGAGGGUUGGUUAGGUAUAUAGUGUGGGUGGUAGGAAAUGCAGGUUGAAGGGAAAUUCUCUGGGGCUUUGGGGAGUUUUGUGCGGUGGGUGAGCCAAGAAAAUACUAAUUAAUAAUAGUAAGUGUUGGUUAAGUUGUUGCUUGGAAGUGAAAAGUUGCUUAGAAAGGUUAGAACUUUAAGUGCAAAGAAAAGAAAAAAACCCAAAACAAUUGUUUUCCUUUGCUGCAAGGUGGGGAAGACUGAAAAAGUGUAACCGAAAACAGAUGACACAGAGUCACCCGUUUUCCUAGAACCCACAGGGAGGGGUGUAUGAUGCCAUCUCACAGGCAGGGCAAGUGUCUUUACCAGCUUCCUCCCGGUGACCAAGGCAGCCUGUUUUAGAGGGUUGUUUUGUUUGGGGUGUGGGUGUUAUCAAGUGAAGAAAGAUGAGUGUCAGACUUGUAGACACAGCAGAUCGGCAUCCUUCGCUGCCCCUUAGCAACUUGGGUGGUCAAUCUGAAGCUGUGAAGGUGUGAUUUUUCAGGAGCUGGAAGUCUUAGAAAAACCUUGUAAAUGCCUACAUUGUGGGCUUUUGACAUAUUUAAGGGACUGCUUAAGACGAGAUUAGAUGGGCUUCUCUGGAUUUGUAACUCAUUUGUCACAGAUACCUUGUGAUUGAAAAUCGUGAGUGAAGUGAAAUUGCAGUGCAUUUCAAGGGAAUUUUGUAUGUAAAUCGUGCCUUAGAAACACUUCUGUUGUCUUUUCUGUGUUUGGUCGAUAUUAAUAAUGGCAAAAUUUUUACCUACCUAGUAUCUUCAAAUCGUAGUCUUUGUAACAAGAACCAAAUAACCUUUUGUGGUCACUGUAAAAUUAAUACUUGGUAGCAGACAGAAUCCAUGUACCUUUGCUAAGGUUAGAAUGAAUAAUUUAUUGUAGUUUUAGUUUGAAUGUUUGUGCUUUAUAAAUGAUCCAAGGCUAGAGGGGAAACUAUCACUUAAAAUCCAUGUGGAAAACAAGAGCUAAAAAGGAAAGGGGAUGGGGAUUGUGGGGAGGGAGUGGGUGAGGUGCCUUUACUACAUGUGUGAUCUGAAAAACCUGCUUGGUAAUAAGCUGCGGUAUUGAAUUGGUAAAGUAAUACCAAUGGCCUUUUAUCAUUUCUUUCUUCCCUUUAAAUUUCACUUAAAAUUUUUAAAAUCAUGGUUAUUUUUAUCCUUGGGAUCUUUCUGUCUUCUGGGUUCCGUUUUUUAAAUGUUUAAAAAUAUGUUGACAUGGUAGUUCAGUUCUUAACCAGUGACUUGGGGAUGAUGCAAACAUCCUGUUGUUGGGAUUUAGAGUGUAUUACUCAUGCAUGUAUGGGAAAUAGUCUCCGGUAUGCUGUUGUGAAAUUGAAACUGUAAAAGUAGAUGGUUAAAAGUACUGGUGUGUUGCUCUGUAUGGUAAGAACUAAUUCUGUUACGUCAUGUACGUAAUUACUAAUCAUUUUUCUUCCACUUUACAGCACAAAUAAAGGUUUGAGUUCUAAACU
Molecule: long non-coding RNA, 3006 nt
Organism: Macaca fascicularis (crab-eating macaque)
Lineage: Eukaryota; Metazoa; Chordata; Mammalia; Primates; Cercopithecidae
Source: Ensembl